This is a small nucleolar RNA of Suncus etruscus (white-toothed pygmy shrew), 132 nucleotides long. RefSeq annotates it as small nucleolar RNA SNORA13. Lineage: Eukaryota; Metazoa; Chordata; Mammalia; Eulipotyphla; Soricidae. The transcript has a single exon. The record is from RefSeq and is a predicted model, not a curated record.
CGCCUCUGUGUUGCCUGUUCACCUUGGAACUAGUGGACACGGUGUCAAAUGAGGCGGAAAGAAAAGCUCUGGGCAGGGUUUGCCCGCUCGAGACCCACCUGUCUCGGGCCAGGAACUGCCUUGGGAACAGGU